AACGAACGCUGGCGGCAGGCCUAACACAUGCAAGUCGAACGAGAACGGCACUUCGGUGCUUAGUAGAGUGGCAGACGGGUGCGUAACGCGUGGGAAUCUACCUAGUAGUAGUGGAUAACAGUUAGAAAUGACUGCUAAUACACUAUACGCCCUUCGGGGGAAAGUUUUAUCGCUAUUAGAUGAGCCCGCGUUAGAUUAGUUUGUUGGUGGGGUAAUGGCCUACCAAGACUACGAUCUAUAGCUGGUCUGAGAGGAUGAUCAGCCACACUGGGACUGAGACACGGCCCAGACUCCUACGGGAGGCAGCAGUGGGGAAUAUUGGACAAUGGGCGAAAGCCUGAUCCAGCCAUGUCGCGUGAGUGAUGAAGGCCUUCGGGUUGUAAAACUCUUUCAGAUGGGAAGAUAAUGACGGUACCAUCAAAAGAAGCUCCGGCUAAUUUCG
RNAcentral lists this ribosomal RNA (442 nucleotides) under uncultured Alphaproteobacteria bacterium. Its description in RNAcentral is "bacterial SSU rRNA". It matches the Rfam family "Bacterial small subunit ribosomal RNA", at positions 29 to 505 of the family's 1533-position model. Lineage: Bacteria; Pseudomonadati; Pseudomonadota; Alphaproteobacteria. The record is from RNAcentral.